RNAcentral lists this ribosomal RNA (440 nucleotides) under uncultured bacterium. RNAcentral describes it as "bacterial SSU rRNA". It matches the Rfam family "Bacterial small subunit ribosomal RNA", at positions 338 to 773 of the family's 1533-position model. The record is from RNAcentral.
CCUACGGGUGGCUGCAGUCGAGAAUCUUCGGCAAUGGGCGCAAGCCUGACCGAGCGACGCCGCGUGCGGGAUGAAGGCCCUUGGGUUGUAAACCGCUGUCAGAGGGGAUGAAAUUCCAGAGGGUUCUCCCUCUGGAUUGACAAAGCCUCAAAGGAAGCACGGGCUAAGUACGUGCCAGCAGCCGCGGUAACACGUACUGUGCGAACGUUAUUCGGAAUCACUGGGCUUAAAGGGUGCGUAGGCGGCCAUUUAAGUAGGGUGUGAAAUCCCCCGGCUCAACCGGGGAAUGGCGCUCUAAACUGGAUGGCUUGAGUGAGAUAGGGGUGUGUGGAACUUCCAGUGGAGCGGUGAAAUGUGUUGAUAUUGGAAGGAACGCCGUUGGCGAAAGCGGCACACUGGGUCUUUUCUGACGCUGAGGCACGAAAGCUAGGGGAGCGAAC